CGGACGGGUGAGUAACACGUGGAUAACCUACCUAUAAGACUGGGAUAACUUCGGGAAACCGGAGCUAAUACCUGAUAAUAUAUUGAACCGCAUGGUUCAAUAGUGAAAGACGGUUUUGCUGUCACUUAUAGAUGGAUCCGCGCCGCAUUAGCUAGUUGGUAAGGUAACGGCUUACCAAGGCAACGAUGCGUAGCCGACCUGAGAGGGUGAUCGGCCACACUGGAACUGAGACACGGUCCAGACUCCUACGGGAGGCAGCAGGG
RNAcentral lists this ribosomal RNA (263 nucleotides) under uncultured Staphylococcus sp. RNAcentral's name for it is "partial 16S ribosomal RNA". It matches the Rfam family "Bacterial small subunit ribosomal RNA", at positions 99 to 354 of the family's 1533-position model. Lineage: Bacteria; Bacillati; Bacillota; Bacilli; Caryophanales; Staphylococcaceae. The record is from RNAcentral.